Molecule: RNA transcript, 3683 nt
Organism: Corylus avellana
Lineage: Eukaryota; Viridiplantae; Streptophyta; Magnoliopsida; Fagales; Betulaceae
Gene: NIG
Gene name: NSP (nuclear shuttle protein)-interacting GTPase
Source: RefSeq, a predicted model, not a curated record
CUGUGUCGGAGAACACCGUAAAGCAUCCCAUUAAGAUCUGAGCUGUACAUAUUUCGUAGUUACCAAUCGACUUUUAAACCAAAGAUCUCUCUCCUCUCUCUCCUCUCUGUCUCUCGCUGAGCGAGUUCGCGUACCUGCGCAAAGCGCGUGGUGGAUCUCUCGGGCAUCACCGUCAGCUGGAAAGGCUGCGGAACUAGAACAACAACUUCAUCUGCGGCAAACACAGGAAGUGGGAAUGGCUAACCGAGUGAAGGAGGACGAGAAAAACGAACGAACUAUUCGGGGUCUUCUCAAACUUCCUGAGAAUCGGAGAUGUAUCAACUGUAACAGUCUGGGACCUCAAUAUGUUUGCACAAAUUUCUGGACAUUUGUUUGCACAAACUGCAGUGGAAUACAUCGGGAGUUCACCCAUCGAGUAAAAUCAGUAUCAAUGGCCAAAUUUUCUUCACAAGAAGUUACUGCCCUUCAAGACGGGGGAAAUCAGCGUGCAAAGGAGAUCUAUUUUAAAGAAUGGGAUCCACAGCGUCAUUCUGUUCCUGACAGCAGUAAUGUUGAGAAACUUCGAGACUUUAUUAAGCAUGUUUAUGUGGAUAGAAGAUACACAGGCGAAAGGAACUAUGAAAAGCCUCCAAGGGCGAAGACGGGUGAGAAGGAAGACUCCUAUGAAAACAGGAGAACAGAUGCAUAUCAAGGAGGGUCUCGAAGUCCACCAUAUGAGGAUUCAUAUGAACGCCGUUACAGUGAUAGGUCUAGUCCUGGUGGAAGGAGUUAUGAAGAAAGAAGAAGUCCUGGAUAUGAUCAAGAAAGUCGGCAAUAUAGUGAUUUUAAGAGAAGUCCUGCUCGUCCUGAGGUUGUUAAUGAUUGGCGCCGAGAUGAUAGAUUUGGAAAUGGGAGGAAAUUUGAAGACCGUAGGGAAUCUGAUGGAGAUUCUAAGCUGGAAGGCAGAUCACCUGAGCGACCAAAAGAUGUAAAUUCAUCCAGUCCCCCUAUGGUGCGGCCCGUAAGAGAGCUUUUGGGAGAGAAUGUGAUCCCUCUUCGCAUAAGUGAACCUCCAAAAGCCAAUGGUGGCAGGGCUGCUGAUGGCUCUGCACUUACACAGAGAACCAUAUCUUCUAGUAGCUUAGGAUCCAGUAAUGGGAAUCCUGUAGAAGUCAAAGUGGAGAAUGCUGGAAGCUUAAUUGAUUUUGAUGCUGAUCCUGGACCUCCACUUGCUGCAGCAGUUCCACAAACACAACAGAUUUCAAUGACUCAACCCACUGCACAUCCAGCAACUUCUAACAAUGACAAUAAUUGGGCUUCUUUUGAUGCUUUCCCUGAGGCCAAAGUAUCUCAAGCCCCAUCAAAUGUGAAUACAUUUGAAUCCGUACUUUCACAAUUAUCAGUCUCAGCAUCUGUGCCUGGUCAUGUUUUUGGAACUUCUGGUAGUGCUGGUUCUCCAGCUGCACACACUGGCAACAUGACAAUAUUACCUAUUACUGGUGAUUCCGCUGUUGCAUCGGUAGGGAACACACCUGCGUUACCUUUUACUGCUGGUGCUCCUGUUACUGCACCAAUAAGUAGUUUGUCAAUGUUUCCCCCUGGUGCACAAGCAAUUUCACCUGGAUUGACACCGAUAUUGCCUGUCAAUGGUAGUAAUUAUGUUGUCAAAGUUCCAGGUUCCGGGCAAGGGCCUCAUAUGCAGCAUCAACAACCGUCGUUCUUUCCUGCUACUGGUAGUCAGUCAACUGCUCAACAAUUUACAACAUCUGUUGAUUUAGGUACAAGCAAUCAGUGGAAUUCAUCACUUAACACUAAUGCACAAGGCCCUUCAAGUAAUCCAGUUGCACAUGCAUCCCCAGCUGUCUCAAUACCACCACAUUUGCCCGCUUCUAUUGAUGUGUCACAACCUUCUGUUGUGGAAGUAAAAUCAAGCACAAGAAGAGAACUUCCUGCGGAUCUUUUCGCUGCAACCUAUUCAUCUUUCCCUGCACCAGUUCCAGCAUGGCAAACUGGUCCACCCCAUGGUAUGGGGUUCAAUAUGCAAUACAAUGCAGCACUGUCAGUGCCAACUUUUCAACAGCCAAAAACUACAAAUCCAUUUGACUUCAACAGUGAACCUCCUCUAGUUCAAGCCCCAACGUUUCCUUCAAUGGCAUCCUUGCAAGGUGCUCUACCAAAUGUCCCAGCUGCUUCAGGCAUAAUACGUGCUUCCAGCUUUGGCACUCCAUCGUCAGCAUGGAUGCAGCCCCAGGCAUCAUCUUAUGCAUCAACUUUGCCUCCCCAGGCACCACCUUACGCAUCAGCUUUGCCUCCCCGGGCUCCACCUUAUGCAUCAGCUUUGCCUCCCCAGGCACCACCUUAUGCAUCAGCUUUGCCUCCCCAGGCACCACCCUACGCAUCAGCUUUGCCUCCCCAGGCACCAUCUUACGCAUCAGCAAUGCCUCCAAGUGCAUACAUGGGGCAACAAAUACCCAGUAACAUGCCAUAUUCCAGGCAUCAAGGAGUAGGGGGCUUUGGCAAUGAUGGGGCUGCUUUCGGCUCCUUAAAUAUGGAUCAGCAGCUGGCUGGCAGAUUCUCAGCACCUGCAACCCCAAAUCCUUUCUCAUCUGUUGGUGGAAACCCAUUUGGAUAAAAUAUGAAAAGGAAAGCGUUUCUGACCCCAUUUAGGUCAAGCAUCAUCUUGUUGCUCCCUGUCAAGUUGCUGGGUGUAAAGUUUUGGUGUCUGUGUUUUGUGGUAGCUUUGAUAUCCAGGCCAAGGAGAGAUUUGUUCUGUUCACCCCGGGGCAAAAGUCAACUGUCACAUGGCCAUAGAGUGAAAUACAUCCGACCAGAAAAGGAAUUGCAGCCGAGUCCUUGGUAUGCGCGGAUUGAUGGAUAUGAGGGGCCUCUCUAUUUGGGUAAGUCUUCUUUUCAUAUAGAGUAAUAUUAUUCACUCUCACUUUUUCACUCAUUUUCGUACCUUUAUUUUUUUGGGUGGUUUUUAGAACUACCAUUAGAUUUGGGAUGAGUUUUUAUUUGAAUAAAAUGGUUUUUAAAAGUUAUUCAAAAAAAAAGAAAGGUUUUAAAAGUCAUUUAAGGGAGUGAAAAUGGGUGUUGAAAAAUGGAAUGUAUGUACCAUUAUUCUUCCCGAAAUGUAAGACGAACAACAAAGCACAAAGCACAAUUCAAACGGCAACGUUCCCCAAGUCCAAUGCACGCAUAGCACAUCUUACUCUAUUCCAUUUGUAGCAAAAUUUUGCUCUUCCAAAAAAUAUUUCGCCGUUGAAUUGAAAAAUGAUGUCUCUUGGACAUGUAAAAAAUACAUACUUUUUUAAUAAUAGGGACAAAGUUAAAAUAUUUUAUAAAAAAAAAAAUAUGUGCAUCUCACAUGCUAUUAAAAAAGUAUAUGCUUCUCACACGCUAUGAUAAGGGAUGUCAUUUUUAUAGAUUGGGUUGAAGAAAGUUUUUUCAACCCAGUUUGAAAGAAAUUUUUGUCCGCAUGACGUUGCCCCUCCCAACCUUCCCUUCGGUUUGUCCCUCUACGAGUUUGUUAUGUUAUUUUACAAAUGUUUAAAGCUUUAAAGCUUACUUUAGUAGCAGUAGGGCCCCAUGCCUAGCUCUUUGAUCAUGUAAUAAGACUUUGAUGGAUGUUACAUCAUUCUUUCAGCCAUUUUUUAAUUUUUUUUUUCUUUUGCAAAUUUAAUAAAUCUACCAUUAUAUUUAUA